Molecule: non-coding RNA, 343 nt
Organism: Cinara cedri
Lineage: Eukaryota; Metazoa; Arthropoda; Insecta; Hemiptera; Aphididae
Source: the annotation of a GenBank genome assembly
AAACAAAUAUUGUUUUUCUUACAUUUACAUAACAGUUCAUCCUUUAAAACAUUUCCCAGCCGUUCCAUAUCGAUCCGCAGUGUUAAUUGUUAUAGUUAAUGCCGAGAAAAAAAUUAGCAACAUGAUUUUGCGGCGUUUUCCUAGCUUUAGAGUACGCGGAAUCGUAACAAAAUUUAAAAAAAACUCAUUGGCCAAUUUUCCAAACAUAUUCCAGUUAUUAAUUUUCUUUCUUAUUUAGAGUAGAGACAAGGAGAGCGUGAAAUAAUGUUGCCAGCUUUUGUGGAAUCUGUAUGAGAAAACAAUAUGUUUAGGGAAUUGCUGCUAUGCACAUAAUAUAUAUUAA